CAAGUCGAGGGGCAGCAUAAUGGAUAGCAAUAUCUAUGGUGGCGACCGGCGCACGGGUGCGUAACGCGUAUGCAACCUACCUUUAACAGGGGGAUAACCGGGAGAAAUUCCGACUAAUACCGCAUACGUCCUUUGGGGGCAUCCCCGGGGGAUGAAAGAGUUAUCGGUGAAGGAUGGGCAUGCGUGAUAUUAGGUAGUUGGCGGGGCAACGGCCCACCAAGCCUACGAUAUCUAGGGGUUCUGAGAGGAAGGUCCCCACAUUGGUACUGAGACACGGACCAAACUCC
Molecule: ribosomal RNA, 287 nt
Filed under: uncultured Bacteroidota bacterium
Lineage: Bacteria; Pseudomonadati; Bacteroidota
Description: uncultured Bacteroidetes bacterium partial 16S ribosomal RNA
Rfam family: Bacterial small subunit ribosomal RNA
Source: RNAcentral